Long non-coding RNA from Passer montanus (Eurasian tree sparrow), 3825 nucleotides. RefSeq lists it as uncharacterized. The transcript is spliced from 3 exons. The record is from RefSeq and is a predicted model, not a curated record. NCBI's taxonomy places the organism in Eukaryota, Metazoa, Chordata, Aves, Passeriformes, Passeridae.
UUCAUCCAAAGUGGAUCUCAUAUCUUAAUGUAAAGCAAUUCUUCCCACAGAUUUCAGAGUCUUUAAAACAAAUCUUCUGUGCUUAUUCUUCCCUCAUAUUUGAGUGUGCAGUUUUUUACUUCCUUUCAUUUGACUGUAGGCUGCUCUUCUCCCUCAGCAUAAACAAGUCGGUAAACAAGUCUGCUUUUUGCAAUUAACUUUCUGCAUUUCUAGUAAUGCUUCCCCCCCCUUCUUUACCUAGAAAGACCAGCAUUAUACAUGUGUAAUUUGCUGUUUAAACUAGCUAUAAGCAGAAGGCUUUCAACCUAGGGCUUGGCUUCUGUCUGAUGCUCUUCAUGUCUGAGCUACCUUUGUUCACAGCUUUAAUGUUAUAGUUCUUUUGGUGCUUCCCAAAUUUCUGUGUUCUUUACUUCCAUUGAAUACAACAACAUGACAAAUUAAUUGUAAUUUUUCAUGUGUACCUGGGUAUCUUCAUUGGCCUUUUUCCUCCUCCAAAAAUUACCUUAAGAAAUCAUUUUGUGUGAUGAGAAGGAGCAAACUGUUUGUGCUUCCAGUAGUGUUGUUUGACUGCCACAGCAGCGCUUUGGAACAGAGGAAGGCUCAAGGAAGAGUCAUAAAAACCUGCACCUCCAGGUAGAGGGAAGCCUGUACCCCCUUCAUGUAUGAUCUGAGAAAUCCUCAUUAGCCUGGGGACUGGAACCCCUUGACAGAUGCAUAUUGUACUUUUUAUCCUUGUCUUGCAAAACUUUCUGGAGCUAUGGAGUGGCUAAAUAAAGACAUUUUCCAUAGGAGGAAUGAGAUGGGUCACAUAUUUCUGUGAAGCAGAGAACUGACUAAAAGAUCUUGGAGAUGUUUUAAAAAAACAGUCAUAGGAAUGUCCUUCUUAGUUUUAAUAUAGCCAAGCUUUGUCACUUAUAGUAGGAGAGGAGUGGAUUCUUACUUUGUGAAACACAGCAGAAGAAAAGGGUGCAUACACCCCAAAACAGGGCUGGCUUUCCUCUGCAUUGGUAUCAUUAGUCCUUUCAACACGGAGGUGGAACUAUAUAUGCUUAGCUCUCUCCUGCAGUAAGGGCAAGUUGGGUUGGGAAUUGUUGAAAGAGAGGUAGUGAAGGAGCAGUGCUUUUGUUUUGAAAAACAUUGCUUUUCAAAGCAAUGUAACAUGCCUGUAACUAUUGACAAAGCUUUUAUUUGACAUAGCUGAGGAGAGAUGCUUACGCAUUUAAGUAUUUGCUUAGGUUCUACCAAUACUUCCUGGCAUGAGACUGGGUUCAUCCUCUCUGUUUAUUUAAGGCUUCAUUCUGCUGUGUUCAUUGACCUUUGAGCUCUAGACCUAAUUAUGCCUGAUUUCCUAUGAAUCCAUCCCUCGUGGCUGAUUGACUUUGGUGUGCAAAAAGAUGUAGACUUCUGCCAUCUUUUUCCUACACAUCACAUAAUUACCGAGUUUCUGUCUCUGAUGGAUUCUCUCAUUUCUAACAAGAGUGUUGCUAGGUGCUCUUAUAACACCUGUGAUACAACCUCGGCUCAGCUGAUUUUAGGAACCUGCAGAAGGAACUGUAGGAGAAACUGGCAGAAGGACCACAAGAGAGUUGUGUGCAGAUGAAGGCCCCCAGAAGAACAGAGAGGCCCAAAAGGUAGCAGGCAGCUGACACACGAGCAGUAGAGCUGAGCUUGUCUAGACACUUGUGCUACUCUGGAAAUACCAACUAUUUCUGAAGACUGUUUAAUUAUUCAGUGUGCUCUGGCUGCUUUAAAAUGUUAGGGAGUAAAUCAAACCAAAUAAAUCUUUUUUUCGUAGCUAUCAAAUUAAAGCAUGAGAAAGCAGAGAUUGAAGUAAUUUUCAUGCUCAAAUGAUGUAUUUUUUUAUAUCUUUAAUAUGCUACUUUUUCUUUAACCUUAAUUACAGGUUUUCUUGUUUUAUCAUUUUUAGUUUAGGAGUAAUAACGACAUCACUCUAAAGUCAUCUGGAAAAAAUUGUCUGGAUUUUACUCUACAUUAUGAAAUCCAUUUUCAAGUAGUUUUGUCAGUGACUAAUUCCAAGCAUUGGUUGAAACAAUUUUUGCGGAAAAUUAGAUACACAUUUUUAAACAAAAAGACUGAUUUCUGGGGAAAAUCUUGUUUUCUUUUAAAUUAACUAAUUAAAUACUCAGAAGUAGUCUCUUAGUCAACAACUGAAAAGCCUCACUUUGGUAAUACUCCCAUAUCUUCCUAUGGGAGCUGUAGCUCAAAUGAUUCAUUGUCCUCUGUUAGGAUUUGCUCUCUGUAAGGAGAUUGCAGCUCCAAGGAAGCACUGCAGGCAAUCGACAUGACAGGAGACUGACAGACACAGUCACAAGCCAAACCUGAAACCUCGGGUACAGCUCCAAGGAACCAGCAGGGUGACAUUUUCUAGACUCUAGCUUUUGGAACUCUUAGGGAAUAGCUGGAAACGUGGCUUCCUCUUGUAUUCCAAGAUUCUACACCUUUUCCUGCAACAUAAAAUUUCCAAGAGCAAUGGUCUAAAAAUUACUAUCAACUUGUCUUUCUCCUUGCUGCUUUGAAACUAGCAUUAUUCACACACUGGAACAUGGGAACAGCACAAGGUUUUGAUAUUGUGGAGUUUGGCACCAGUAGUACUGGUCGCACUAUCUUCCAGAAGUGUCAUCUGACAGCUAACUUAAAUCAUGUUAUACCUGGUGUCUGCACAUUUGUUUGCAUAUACCAAUGAGAAUUUAUAUAACCCUAAACUAUAUUGUAAAGAAAAUUCAUCCAUCAGUACAGCCUAAUAAACAGUCUUAUCUUACCUUAGGCUUCCACUCUUUUCCAUUCAACAUAUGGUUUCACUUUGAAAGAGCAGACUUACAAUAAAUGGUAUCAUCAGUAGGCUGAUAAGUGCUGUAAUUUGUAACACGACAUCUGUUUGAGGAAGAUUUCCCAUGCCUAGUCAAUGCUUAAUUGCUUUCUAAAAUAUUAACUUUUGCUGUAUGUUUAGGCAUUGAGUACUGUAUAGAGGAAAAGAAAUUAUGGUUCUUGCCUAUCUCUCCAAUAAUUUUAGUUUUUCAUUUAUUUUACAUGUACAUGCUGGUGUUUGGAUACUUAACAGAGAUGCUAACCUCAAGAUCCUUUGCACUUGAGACAAAUGGAAUCUUUACCUCAAUGGCCCUGGGUUUACUGCUCUUGUAAUGUUCUGAAAUAUCAAAAGUUCUGAAAUAGUGGAAUUUACAUUUCACAGUGCAAAUGUAGGAGAAUCACCAGGUCCUCCAUUGGGUGCUGCAAGGUUCCUGAAAACCUGCUGACCCAGAUGAAGACUUGGGCCUGUCUGUAUGAAACAUUUUGCUUGGAGGUCAAAUGAGGUGCAGAGGUGACAGAAAUCCUUGAGGUUUCUGAGGUUCCUUGUGACUUUCUUCUUUUUGUGACAUCACCAGAACACAUGCAGUUUCCACUUGAACCAUCAGUGCCUUUUGCCUAGGCAGUGAAAUAGGUCACUGCGGUGAGACUAUUUCUCCGUGGUAAUUAUGGAUGUAUCUACACAGCUCCCAAAAGAGACAAACCACACAUAUCUUUGAAAUAAUAAGGCUAGAAUAGGUCUAUGCUCAGUUCUUUUUCUUAUAGAUAUGUGUUGCCUUGAUUUUUUAAGAUUUUCUAGGCCUUCUGAAGUUUGCAUUCUUGUACUAAACUUUCUCACAUGCUUUCUAUAAAAAACUUAUUGUUUUGUAUUCUUUUAUGGAGCAGGAGAAACUUGAUGGACUGUUGGUUUGUCCAGUGUCCUUGGAGAGGUGGCACUUUCACCCUCCAAUCCACUGUCACCUUUAGAAAUCUAUAAAUGUUGGAGUCAGAAAAUAAACUUGC